RNAcentral lists this ribosomal RNA (559 nucleotides) under Valdensinia heterodoxa. RNAcentral describes it as "eukaryotic LSU rRNA". The stretch from base 196 to 349 matches the Rfam family "5.8S ribosomal RNA". The record is from RNAcentral. Lineage: Eukaryota; Fungi; Ascomycota; Leotiomycetes; Helotiales; Sclerotiniaceae.
CUUCCGUAGGUGAACCUGCGGAAGGAUCAUUACAGAGAACAUCCCUAGAGGAUGGAGCUCCCCACCCUUGUGUAUUAUUACUUUGUUGCUUUGGCGAGCUGCCUUCGGGCCUCAAGCUUUCGAGCUUGGGCGCGCUCGCCAGAGGAUAUCAAAACUCUUUUUAUUAAUGUCGUCUGAGUACUAUAUAAUAGUUAAAACUUUCAACAACGGAUCUCUUGGUUCUGGCAUCGAUGAAGAACGCAGCGAAAUGCGAUAAGUAAUGUGAAUUGCAGAAUUCAGUGAAUCAUCGAAUCUUUGAACGCACAUUGCGCCCCUUGGUAUUCCGGGGGGCAUGCCUGUUCGAGCGUCAUUUCAACCCUCAAGCACUGCUUGGUAUUGAGCCCAUGUCAGCAAUGGCAGGCUCUAAAAUCAGUGGCGGCGCCGUUGGGUCCUGAACGUAGUAAUAUCUCUCGUUACAGGUUCUCAGCGUGCUUCUGCCAACAACCCCAAAUUUUCUAUGGUUGACCUCGGAUCAGGUAGGGAUACCCGCUGAACUUAAGCAUAUCAAUAAGCGGAGGAA